GAUGAACGCUGGCGGCGUGCCUAAUACAUGCAAGUCGAGCGAACAGACGAGGAGCUUGCUCCUCUGACGUUAGCGGCGGACGGGUGAGUAACACGUGGAUAACCUACCUAUAAGACUGGGAUAACUUCGGGAAACCGGAGCUAAUACCGGAUAAUAUAUUGAACCGCAUGAUUCAAUAGUGAAAGACGGUUUUGCUGUCACUUAUAGAUGGAUCCGCGCCGCAUUAGCUAGUUGGUAAGGUAACGGCUUACCAAGGCAACGAUGCGUAGCCGACCUGAGAGGGUGAUCGGCCACACUGGAACUGAGACACGGUCCAGACUCCUACGGGAGGCAGCAGUAGGGAAUCUUCCGCAAUGGGCGAAAGCCUGACGGAGCAACGCCGCGUGAGUGAUGAAGGUCUUCGGAUCGUAAAACUCUGUUAUUAGGGAAGAACAAAUGUGUAAGUAACUAUGCACGUCUUAACGGUACCUAAUCAGAAAGCCACGGCUAACUACGUG
This 497-nucleotide ribosomal RNA is filed under the name uncultured bacterium. RNAcentral describes it as "partial 16S ribosomal RNA". It matches the Rfam family "Bacterial small subunit ribosomal RNA", at positions 28 to 507 of the family's 1533-position model. The record is from RNAcentral.